Long non-coding RNA from Felis catus (domestic cat), 1856 nucleotides. RefSeq lists it as uncharacterized. The transcript has 5 exons. NCBI's taxonomy places the organism in Eukaryota, Metazoa, Chordata, Mammalia, Carnivora, Felidae. The record is from RefSeq and is a predicted model, not a curated record.
UUCAGUCUACCAAUUUAUUAGCUGUGUGACCUUGGGAGGAUCAUGUAACUCUUUUGAGGCUUGGUUUCUUCAACUAUAAAGUAAACAAUUUUCAGGCUUAUUGUGAUAAUUCAAUGAGAUCAUCUAUUUAAGCUGUAGGUAUUUAAUGAUUUAUUAUUAUUAUCAUUAUUAUUAUCAGAAUUUUGAGGGGGAGCCAAUAAAGAACACAUUUCUUCCCUGCCUAAGGGUGAAACCAACUGAGAAAUGAACGUAGAAGUCAUACAGAUGGACUUUGAAUUACUAAUAACAGCUGGGCUGAAGAUAUAACUAGGUAUGGGUCACAAUAGGCUUGCUAGAUUCUCUCUGGAUAAAGUCGACCCCUCUAGUCACUGACACAGCUGUAUAGGGACAGGCUUCUUUCCUCAUGAAAAAGGAUACACCAGACCAUCCUCUCCCACUAAGCAGGGCUGCUACAAGAGCGAGCCGAGAUGAUCUGUGUCAUGAAUUCCCAGACAUUUCUAGAUGUACCUAUUAUUGCCUGUCCUGGAAGGAGGGAACAAGAAGGUUAAGAGAGACUGGAAGUCCCUCCAUAUGGAAAUUUAAGAUGAAGGGGCACUGAGAUUUCUUCCAAAGUAUUAUAAAUUUGAUGGAUAUAAUUUUAGAGAAUUGAUUUUUAAUAGUUAAAAGUUGAAUAUUAUAAUACCUGUAUUUUAUAUGUGAAUGUAAAUAUAUGUGUCUAUAUUGUGUGUGUAUGUAUAUAUAUCCUCAAUCCUUUUUCUUUGAUACUUUUCCUACUGUGGUAAAUUGAACUAUUUUUCUCAGUUGUUACCUUCCUCCCACUAAAGAGUUUUUGCAUGCUUUCUCUUUGCCACAAUUUUCUCAGUAUCUUCUCUAUAGGUGAAGUAUACCUUCCCUGCCCCAUCAACUUUGGCCAUGGUCUUGUGACAUGCUUUGGCUAGUGGAAUACAUGUGGAUAUUAGUUAAGCCAUGUCUGAGCAGAAGCUUUAAAUGAGCUUGUGUGAUUUGUCUCCAUCUAUCCUUGACCAUCUGUCUUUCACUGUAAGAACACCAAGUCCUAUGUCUGGCUGCUUCCUCAGUCUGGAUUCCAAGAUGAAUGGACACACAGAGCUGGCCCGAUGGACCCAGCUCAGCCUAGAAUGGAUUCACCGCCUUCUUCUAGAGGUUUACUCCUUUGACAACACCAACCCAGAUAACCUCACCAUCUUAUAGAAAAGCCAUAUGUAUAUUCACCUUAGCUGAUUUCAAGAGCCCACAUUUAAAAGAAAUUACUUGGGAAGUCUUGCCUUUGUAACUUCAAAGACCAGGAUGCUGGUUUAUAUUUGUCUGCAGGAAUAGUGGAAAGGUAAUAAAGCCUCUGAAAUGACUGCACUUGGCAAGAGGGUCUCUUGUGUCAUUUACAGCAGGGGAGAACUCACAGAAUAAAUUCAGUGACUGGAGAAGAGGACAUCUCUAGAGAUAACUGGAAAGGAGAGGAGGAAGGGAUAAGGAGACCUCGUAACCUGUAAGUACCCUGGAUAUUAUCUUCCCAACCUGUCUCUGAACAGGUGACUGCCAUCUUCUUGAGUGUUGGCAUUUGAAGGAAUAACAUUUAAAAAAAACAACAACAAGAAUUUCCCAGAAGGAUUAUAUCCAAAUGUCAUGUUUGAGUUGCAGUAGAAUAUAAUUUCUGGAAGCAUGGCCUUUGUGUGUGUUUGUGUUUGUUAAAAAUGUUCCUGCCGGCAUAAGUUAGAAGGCAAAAAUUAAAACAGUUUAUGGUAUUCAUUACAUGGUCAUCCAAGUUUUCUUUAUUCACAAAAAUAUUUACUUACUGUUCCUGAACUACCAUGUAGUAUUUUAAUAAACAUCACCACAUUGCA